Molecule: ribosomal RNA, 721 nt
Filed under: uncultured Arthrobacter sp.
Lineage: Bacteria; Bacillati; Actinomycetota; Actinomycetes; Micrococcales; Micrococcaceae
Description: bacterial SSU rRNA
Rfam family: Bacterial small subunit ribosomal RNA
Source: RNAcentral
UGCAGUCGAGGGGUAUAAGUCUUCGGAUUUAGAGACCGGCGCACGGGUGCGUAACGCGUAUGCAAUCUACCUUUUACAGAGGGAUAGCCCAGAGAAAUUUGGAUUAAUACCUCAUAGUAUUAUAGAAUGGCAUCAUUUUAUAAUUAAAGUCACAACGGUAAAAGAUGAGCAUGCGUCCCAUUAGCUAGUUGGUAAGGUAACGGCUUACCAAGGCUACGAUGGGUAGGGGUCCUGAGAGGGAGAUCCCCCACACUGGUACUGAGACACGGACCAGACUCCUACGGGAGGCAGCAGUGAGGAAUAUUGGACAAUGGGCGCAAGCCUGAUCCAGCCAUGCCGCGUGCAGGAUGACGGUCCUAUGGAUUGUAAACUGCUUUUGUACAGGAAGAAACACUGGUUCGUGAACCAGCUUGACGGUACUGUAAGAAUAAGGAUCGGCUAACUCCGUGCCAGCAGCCGCGGUAAUACGGAGGAUCCAAGCGUUAUCCGGAAUCAUUGGGUUUAAAGGGUCCGUAGGCGGUUUAAUAAGUCAGUGGUGAAAGCCCAUCGCUCAACGGUGGAACGGCCAUUGAUACUGUUAGACUUGAAUUAUUAGGAAGUAACUAGAAUAUGUAGUGUAGCGGUGAAAUGCUUAGAGAUUACAUGGAAUACCAAUUGCGAAGGCAGGUUACUACUAAUUGAUUGACGCUGAUGGACGAAAGCGUGGGUAGCGAACAGGAUU